ACUACGGAGAGUUUGAUCCUGGCUCAGGAUGAACGCUAGCGGGAGGCCUAAUACAUGCAAGUCGGACGGCAGCGGGGCCCUUCGGGGCUGCCGGCGAGUGGCGCACGGGUGAGU
This 114-nucleotide ribosomal RNA is filed under the name Saprospiraceae bacterium. Its description in RNAcentral is "partial 16S ribosomal RNA". It matches the Rfam family "Bacterial small subunit ribosomal RNA", at positions 1 to 111 of the family's 1533-position model. Lineage: Bacteria; Pseudomonadati; Bacteroidota; Saprospiria; Saprospirales; Saprospiraceae. The record is from RNAcentral.